Molecule: long non-coding RNA, 780 nt
Filed under: Phasianus colchicus (ring-necked pheasant)
Lineage: Eukaryota; Metazoa; Chordata; Aves; Galliformes; Phasianidae
Description: lncRNA (ENSPCLG00000019673.1)
Source: RNAcentral
AUGGAGACAGGACCCAUCCGAGCACAGCAGCUGAGGACAGGCAGCUGAGAUGAGUCCUACAGCCCUUCCAUGGGUGACGUGUUCUUGUGUACUCAUGUGCUGAUGGAAUGCACCAAUAAGGCAUCUCCCUCCUGUGGGAAUCUCAUUUGAUUAGAAGUUAAACAUUCAGUUCCCAAAGAAAAUUUAAAGCUCUGCCAAUAACAGAAGGGAAAACAAACAAACAAACAAACAUUUCACACAAAUUUUCUUCUGGUGAUGCUUGAAGAAACAUGAAAACCCUGUAGUACCAUUUUUUGAGUUCAGGCUUGUUUUUCAGAUUUAUUUAUUUACAGAUCUAAAAUGAAAUUAAUACUCCCUUCUUUAGCAUGAGCUGACUUUAACUCAUUCAGAAUAAAAAUGAUAAUUCCUGGAAUAUCAGAAUUGUUUGCAGUAAACUGUACUGCAGCUACGUGGGAUUUGGUUGCCAUGAUGCUGUUAACUCCUUGCUACACAUUGCCAUCUUGCAUCAGUUUGAAAGGUUAUUCUGCAUCAAACAAGCUUGUUUUAGAUGAGACAGUUUCAUUCUGCAGCAGUAAAAGGCUCUUAGGAUCUGAGCUGGCUGACUGUACUUCCCUGACACGGAAGCUAAUUCCAUGCUGCAGUCACAGAGGAAUCCACGGCUUGAUGUACCCUGAUUCAACAAUGAGUGUCACAAUCUGGUCCUUAUCCUUGCAAAAGGGAAGAACUGGGAUUGCAGGUGCUGUUUCUUCUAUCAGCAUAUGCUUGACUGAAAGCAUCUGA